GUUAGGAAUAUUGGACAAUGGGCGCAAGCCUGAUCCAGCCAUGCCGCGUGAGUGAUGAAGGCCUUCGGGUUGUAAAGCUCUUUAGCCGAUGAUUAUAAUGACUGUAGUCGGAAAAUAAGCCCCGGCUAACUUCGUGCCAGCAGCCGCGGUAAUACGAAGGGGGCGAGCGUUAUUCGGAAUAACUGGGCGUAAAGCGUGCGUAGGCGGCUUUGCAAGUUGGGAGUGAAAGCCCAGGGCUCAACCCUGGAAUUGCUCUCAAAACUGCAAGGCUCGAAUUCGGGAGAGGAUAGCGGAAUUGUCAGUGUAGCAGUGAAAUGCGUAGAUAUUGACAGGAACACCAGUGGCGUAAGCGGCUAUCUGGACCGAUAUUGACGCUGAGGCACGAAAGCGUGGGGAUCAAACAGGAUUAGAUACCCGAGUAGUCC
Molecule: ribosomal RNA, 425 nt
Filed under: uncultured bacterium
Lineage: Bacteria
Description: bacterial SSU rRNA
Rfam family: Bacterial small subunit ribosomal RNA
Source: RNAcentral